GAUGAAGAACGUAGCGAAAUGCGAUACGUAAUGUGAAUUGCAGAAUUCAGUGAAUCAUCGAAUCUUUGAACGCAUAUUGCGCUCUCUGGUAUUCCGGAGAGCAUGCUUGUUUGAGUAUCAGUAAACACCUCAACUCCCUUUUCUUUUUUGAAAUUGGAGCUGGACUUGAGUGAUCCCAACGCUUUCUUCCAAGAAAGUGGCGGGUUGCUUGAAAUGCAGGUGCAGCUGAACUUUUCUCUGAGCUAUAAGCAUAUCUAUUUAGUCUGCCUAAAAAACAGAUUAUUCCCUUUGCUGCAGCUAACAUAAAGGAGACUAGUUCUUGUGCUGACUGAUGCAGGAUUCACAGAGACAGCUUCGGCUGACUUUGUAAACUCGAUCUCAAAUCAAGUAAGACUACCCGCUGAACUUAAGCAUAUCAAUAAGCGGAGGA
This 430-nucleotide unclassified non-coding RNA is filed under the name soil metagenome. RNAcentral describes it as "partial contains 5.8S ribosomal RNA, internal transcribed spacer 2, and large subunit ribosomal RNA". The stretch from base 1 to 120 matches the Rfam family "5.8S ribosomal RNA", at positions 35 to 154 of the family's 154-position model. The record is from RNAcentral.